GUGCUUGCUUCGGCAGCACAUAUACUAAAAUUGUAACGAUACAGAGAAGAUUAGCAUGGCCCCUGCGCAAGGCCAUAUUUAAAAAUAAAUAAAUAAAUAAAUAAAU
This is a non-coding RNA of Ailuropoda melanoleuca (giant panda), 106 nucleotides long. The record is from Rfam. Lineage: Eukaryota; Metazoa; Chordata; Mammalia; Carnivora; Ursidae.